Molecule: ribosomal RNA, 552 nt
Filed under: Kluyveromyces lactis
Lineage: Eukaryota; Fungi; Ascomycota; Saccharomycetes; Saccharomycetales; Saccharomycetaceae
Description: partial large subunit ribosomal RNA
Rfam family: Eukaryotic large subunit ribosomal RNA
Source: RNAcentral
AAAAGAAACCAACCGGGAUUGCCUUAGUAACGGCGAGUGAAGCGGCAAAAGCUCAAAUUUGAAAUCUGGCGUCUUCGACGUCCGAGUUGUAAUUUGAAGAAGGCAACUUUGUAGCUGGUCCUUGUCUAUGUUCCUUGGAACAGGACGUCAUAGAGGGUGAGAAUCCCGUGUGGCGAGGAUCCCAGUUAUUUGUAAAGUGCUUUCGACGAGUCGAGUUGUUUGGGAAUGCAGCUCUAAGUGGGUGGUAAAUUCCAUCUAAAGCUAAAUAUUGGCGAGAGACCGAUAGCGAACAAGUACAGUGAUGGAAAGAUGAAAAGAACUUUGAAAAGAGAGUGAAAAAGUACGUGAAAUUGUUGAAAGGGAAGGGCAUUUGAUCAGACAUGGCGUUUGCUUCGGCUUUCGCUGGGCCAGCAUCAGUUUUAGCGGUUGGAUAAAUCCUCGGGAAUGUGGCUCUGCUUCGGUAGAGUGUUAUAGCCCGUGGGAAUACAGCCAGCUGGGACUGAGGAUUGCGACUUUUGUCAAGGAUGCUGGCGUAAUGGUUAAAUGCCGCCC